GCUUACGGCCACACCGCCUGGUUCACGCCAGAUCUCGUUUGAUCUUGGAAGCUAAGAUAGGUUGGGCCUGGUUAGUACUUGGAUGGGAGACCGCCUAGGAAUACCAGGUGCUGUAAGGC
RNAcentral lists this ribosomal RNA (119 nucleotides) under Scophthalmus maximus (turbot). Lineage: Eukaryota; Metazoa; Chordata; Actinopteri; Pleuronectiformes; Scophthalmidae. The record is from RNAcentral.